CUCCCCGGGGCUUGAUUUCUGGCGACUCCCAGAAAGUUUCACCCUCUCGGGCUAAGUGCGCGCGGUAGCGUGUGUGCGCGCGGCGCGGUGAGCACCUCCCUCCCUCCGGGCAGGAAAGGAGCCCGCGCCCGGCUCAAGGAAAGCAGCCCGGCCCGGGACGCCGGCGCCCGCCCUCCCGGCCGCGAGCGCACUCACCUCGGGGAAGAAGUUGUCCAUUGUUCCCGUGCGCUCCCCAACUCGCCCGAGUCCGGCUCCCAGCUCGCGGAAGUCAGCCCAGCAGAAGGUCCGGGGAAACCAUGCGUGUCACAGCGCGACUCCCAGAAACUCGAGCCCGCGGGGCUCCCCCGCUGCCAUCUCCUUCUCCCCUUCUCGUCUUUCGCACCUUUUGUUUGCCCAAACCCAAGUCUCUAACUCAUCCGUCCCAACUGCAGCCUUUGUCUCCUCUUUCUCCAAGUUCCUCACUCCUGGGCGCCGCGCUCGCGAGCGGAGAACAGCUGGUGGCACAUUCUUCCCCCCGGCUGGGGGAGGGAGGCGGGGGGCUGGGGAGUGCGCCCCCUCCCUCUGCGCUCCGGCCGGAGGCACUCGGGGCGGGCAGGGGGACAACGGCCACAAAGCAAGCCCGAAAUGGCUCUCCCAGCUCGAGCGCCGCCCCGCUCGGCAGAUGAGCGACCCCGGGGACGGAAGCGCGGUCCGUGGAGCUGCCCCGGCUGUUGGGCCAGAUCAAAGCGGAGAAGGGAGGCUAAUCAGAAUUUCUGGAAGCUGCCUACCCGUGUGGAGUUUCUCCUGCACCCAGGAUAAAAGACGUUUUCAUCGCAGUGGGAAAAUGUAGUUUUGUAAACUGGAAGAGGACGUGGCCAAUUGCACUUUUCCUGGACCUAAAGGAAGCAGCAGAUAGUCAAAUGGAAGCGAGAUGGAUGAAGGAUCAAACCCCCCUGGUACUGAGUCCUGGUUUCUCUGGGGCAGGUCCUCAAACUUUCGCGUGCACAGGAAUCACCUGGGAAUCUUGUUAAAAUGCAGACUGGAAUUGAGUGGGAUGAGCGCUGAUAAUCUGCAUUUCCAGCAAGUUUCAGGUGCCUUCAAUGGAUGGCACCUGGCCUUGUGCUGUUCUGCAAACUGUUUGGAACCUGUCUGUAACAAGUAGAGAAAUUGAGAGCAAAGGUUUAGAAACUUUUGUAGCAAUUUAUAAAAUGCCACGACAUACAAGCACAUGAUCUGUGGUCUCUUUGAACCGAGUAUAAACCAGUUUGGGUGUUGUCAGACUCGUGGUGACUCAUACCUGGCACAGCAGGGUUUUCCUAUUGGUACCUGGCAGAUUGGAAACAGAAACAACUGGUUCUUCACCACAAAUGGUUUGAAAAGUUCUCUCUAGGGGAUUUGCCAACUGCUCCCAUCCUUUAAGACUCAAGUCAGAAAGUCACAUCUUCCAUGGGAAGCCUGCCCAGAGAUGUCCAGCUACUCAUGCCACUUCCAGCUCCACUUAACCAGCAGGCGUGGCUUAUUCCUACAACUACCGAGGAAACUAUAUCUUGUUGGGGAUUGUGAGCAAUUGGGCCACCAGAAUAAUGCUGACAAGCUGAUUUGAGUGACUUUCAUUCACCUUGGACACAGGAGGACUGCAGUACUCUUCGCCAACAGUCCCCCAGUGACCUUGGGCUUAGCCUGUGUGUGGACUCCUGGGUCAGGUCUCACCUAUGUGUUCCAACCGGCAGUGGUACUGCCCAAGCCUACAGCAUCAUUGGGCAGUGGGGAGCUGGCAGCCGUCUUUGCCCUGUGUGCGUUCCACCCCUGGCACGCAGGAGGGUCAUUGUAGUCCUUCCACUGGCGCUGCUUCUCAUGUCAGGCAGUCUUCCUGGGUUAACUGCACCCAUCUCCUCCUUGAUUUUCUAGACAGCUGCCCUGCAGUGUCAAUCGGCCCUUGCUAUCAAUGUCCUUACUUGCCUCAAAUCCGUGUGGUGUCGCUGUACUCCUGUAGGUGGACCUUAAUUUGAGCCAGAUGAGAGAUGGACAUUUCUUGCAUGAAUGGAACCACUCUCCCCACUGCACUCAUGGCCCCCUUCCCUGGCCUCCCAGUUGGUGUUGGUGUGUGGACAGCAAAGUGCAGUCAACAUUGAAAUCGACUGUGUGCUCAGAAUGCCUUGUUUGCAGCCUGAAGGGUUCAAGAGAAGAUUUAAUCGGAAGAUGUGUUGUUCAAUGGUUCUGCUAGAAAAUCCUCAGUGGUUAUUGUAGCAUGACGCCAAGAUGAAUUAUCAUUCACAUUUUCUUGCAUACUCGGGGUUGGACUUGCAUUUGUGGCCACCGUCAACAAAGCACUGUGACAACCUUUGAGAGUGUCACUGGCAGCCAGUUUCACAGGCACAGGAUGUAGGAUGUAAUGUCAUAAACGAUGAUGCAGCAGCACUAAAUAAAUGACAUGAAGAAACUGCAGAGGUCAGAAUUUCUAUAUUGCUUUAAAACAACCAGGUUCUGAACAGCCGUGACACUGUGAAGAAGUUUCCCUAUCCUUUUCUCAUUCUGAGAAAUAAGAAAUGAGCCACGGAUGGCACAUUUGACAACAAGAACGUGAGGAUGUGUUUCCUGGAUGUGAAUUGGAAGAGCUGGUGCCUGGACCCUAGAAGAAUCUUUAUGCACAC
Lagenorhynchus albirostris (white-beaked dolphin) is the source of this 2630-nucleotide long non-coding RNA. RefSeq lists it as uncharacterized. The transcript has 3 exons. The record is from RefSeq and is a predicted model, not a curated record. Lineage: Eukaryota; Metazoa; Chordata; Mammalia; Artiodactyla; Delphinidae.